RNAcentral lists this ribosomal RNA (479 nucleotides) under uncultured bacterium. Its description in RNAcentral is "bacterial SSU rRNA". It matches the Rfam family "Bacterial small subunit ribosomal RNA", at positions 30 to 507 of the family's 1533-position model. The record is from RNAcentral.
AUUGAACGCUGGCGGAAUGCUUUACACAUGCAAGUCGAACGGUAGAGGGGGCAACCCCUUGAGAGUGGCGAACGGGUGAGUAAUAUAUCGGAACGUGCCCAGUCGUGGGGGAUAACGUAGCGAAAGUUACGCUAAUACCGCAUACGAUCUACGGAUGAAAGCGGGGGAUCGCAAGACCUCGCGCGAUUGGAGCGGCCGAUAUCAGAUUAGGUAGUUGGUGGGGUAAAGGCUCACCAAGCCAACGAUCUGUAGCUGGUCUGAGAGGACGACCAGCCACACUGGAACUGAGACACGGUCCAGACUCCUACGGGAGGCAGCAGUGGGGAAUUUUGGACAAUGGACGCAAGUCUGAUCCAGCCAUUCCGCGUGCAGGACGAAGGCCUUCGGGUUGUAAACUGCUUUUGUACGGAACGAAAGGUUUCUAUUAAUACUAGGAGCUCAUGACGGUACCGUAAGAAUAAGCACCGGCUAACUACGUG